ACUAAAAAUCUAGCCCAAACUACCCUAAUGCCCCGCUUAUAAACCCAAAUAAACUAAAACAUUUUAUGUGUUCAGUAACGGCGAUAAAAAAACUAAUUAGAGCUAUAGCAAUAGUACCGCAAGGAAAAGAUGAAAUAAAAAUGAAAUAAAUUUUAAGUAAAAAAAAGUAGAGCUUCACCCUCGUACCUUUUGCAUCAUGAUUUAACUAGUCUAAUCAAGCAAAAAGAACUAUAGUUUGACUUCCCGAAACUAGACGAGCUACUUCGGGGCAGCUUAAUGAGCGAACCCGUCUCUGUUGCAAAAGAGUGGGAUGACCUCCAAGUAGCGGUGACAGACCUAACGAGUCUAGUGAUAGCUGGUUACUUAAGAAAAGGAUUUUAGUCCAACCUAAAGCAGCUUAAAUACUUUUAAAUGACUUAUACGCUUUAGCGUCAUUCAAAUAAGGUUCAGCCUAUUUGAAAUAAGGAUACAACCUAGACUAAUGGGUAAUUAUUUCAUUAAUAUAAACAAGUGGGCCUAAGAGCAGCCACCUUUAAAAUAGCGUCAAAGCUUAUUUAUACUAAACACGAAUUUCACAAAAUAAUUAAAACCCUUUACUCCUAUUAAGUACUUCCAUAAUUAUAUAGAAGAUCUUAUGUUAAAACUAGUAAUAAGAAGACGCUCUUCUCUUAAAUGCAAGUGUACAUCAGAAUGAACAAUUCACUGAUAAUUAACGUCAAUGAACCUGAAACAGAAACUUUACUAGAAAACUCUGUUUAAAUUACCGUUAACCUAACACCAGAGCAUUACAAGAAAGAUUAAAAGAGAAAGAAGGAACUCGGCAAAUAUUAGCCCCGCCUGUUUACCAAAAACAUCGCCUCUUGUAUAUUUAUAAGAGGUCCCGCCUGCCCAGUGACAUAGUUCAACGGCCGCGGUAUCCUAACCGUGCGAAGGUAGCGUAAUCACUUGUUCUUUAAAUGAGGACUAGUAUGAAUGGCAUCACGAAGGCUAUACUGUCUCCUUUCUCCAAUCAAUGAAACUAAUCUCCCCGUGAAGAAGCGGGGAUAAAUAUAUAAGACGAGAAGACCCUAUGGAGCUUCAAACUAUACAGCAACAGCCAUAAUAAACCUAAUUAAUAGCCUGGCUUCCAUGACUGUAAGUUUUAGGUUGGGGUGACCGCGGAGCAAAAAUUAACCUCCACAUUGAACGGAAUUCUCCUGAGCAAAAAGCUACAACUUUAAGCACCAAUAAAUUGACAUCAAUUGACCCAAUAUUUUGAUCAACGAACCAAGUUACCCUAGGGAUAACAGCGCAAUCCACUUCAAGAGCUCCUAUCGACAAGUGGGUUUACGACCUCGAUGUUGGAUCAGGGUAUCCUGGUGGUGCAGCCGCUACUAAAGGUUCGUUUGUUCAACGAUUAAAACCCU
This 1406-nucleotide ribosomal RNA is filed under the name Dendropsophus nahdereri. Its description in RNAcentral is "partial 16S ribosomal RNA". It matches the Rfam family "Bacterial large subunit ribosomal RNA", at positions 424 to 2597 of the family's 2925-position model. The record is from RNAcentral. Lineage: Eukaryota; Metazoa; Chordata; Amphibia; Anura; Hylidae.